Molecule: ribosomal RNA, 443 nt
Filed under: uncultured bacterium
Lineage: Bacteria
Description: bacterial SSU rRNA
Rfam family: Bacterial small subunit ribosomal RNA
Source: RNAcentral
AUGAACGCUGGCGGCACGGAUAAGUCAUGCAAGUCGAACGGUGCAAGAUAGCAAUAUUUUGCAUAGUGGCGAACGAGUUAGUAACACCUUGGUAUCUGCCUCAAAGUCAGGCACAACUAGUCGAAAGAUUAGCUAAUUCCCGAUGGUCUCGUAAGAGUAAAGACGUAAGUCGCUUUGAGAGGAGCCUAGGUCCUAUCAGCUUGUUGGCGGGGUAAUGGCCCACCAAGGCUAUGACGGGUAGGGGGUGUGAGAGCACGACCCUCAACGAUGGAACUGAGAACGGUCCAUACACCUACGGGUGGCAGCAGACGAGAAUAUUCGACAAUGGGCGAAAGCCUGAUCGAGCGAUGCCGCGUGCGGGAAGAAGGGCUUCGGCCUGUAAACCGCUUUUGCCAUGGAAAAAUUUUGAUUGUACAUGGAGAAUAAGGGGUUGCUAACCUCGU